This is a ribosomal RNA of Cricetulus griseus (Chinese hamster), 52 nucleotides long. The record is from Ensembl. NCBI's taxonomy places the organism in Eukaryota, Metazoa, Chordata, Mammalia, Rodentia, Cricetidae.
CUAGCCUGAAUGUGCUUGAUCCCUUUUGAUCUUGAAAGCUAGGCAGGGUCAG